RNAcentral lists this transfer RNA (80 nucleotides) under Catellatospora chokoriensis. Its description in RNAcentral is "tRNA-Ala". Lineage: Bacteria; Bacillati; Actinomycetota; Actinomycetes; Micromonosporales; Micromonosporaceae. The record is from RNAcentral.
CCGCCGCGGCGGCCGGAUCGUUGCUGCUGGCGUCGGCGGCGGUCGGCGUGGCGCUGCCGGUCGCGGCGGCAGCGGCGGGC